RNAcentral lists this unclassified non-coding RNA (285 nucleotides) under uncultured fungus. RNAcentral's name for it is "partial contains small subunit ribosomal RNA, internal transcribed spacer 1, and 5.8S ribosomal RNA". The stretch from base 1 to 73 matches the Rfam family "Eukaryotic small subunit ribosomal RNA", at positions 1759 to 1831 of the family's 1831-position model. The record is from RNAcentral. Lineage: Eukaryota; Fungi.
GCAAACUUGGUCAUUUAGAGGAAGUAAAAGUCGUAACAAGGUUUCCGUAGGUGAACCUGCGGAAGGAUCAUUACCGAGUGCGGGCCGCCUCCGGGCGCCCAACCUCCCACCCGUGACUACCACACCCUGUUGCUUCGGCGGCGCGCCCCCUCCAAGGGGGGGAGCAAGCCGCCGGGGACCACCGAACUUCAUGCCUGAGAGUGAUGCAGUCUGAGCCUGAAUAUGAAAUCAGUCAAAACUUUCAACAAUGGAUCUCUUGGUUCCGGCAUCGAUGAAGAACGCAGC